This 429-nucleotide long non-coding RNA is filed under the name Gossypium barbadense (sea-island cotton). RNAcentral's name for it is "long non-coding RNA (GBAR_LNC005413)". The record is from RNAcentral. Lineage: Eukaryota; Viridiplantae; Streptophyta; Magnoliopsida; Malvales; Malvaceae.
UGAGAAUUGUUUAUGUAUUUUGGCUUAAGAUAAAAGCCCUUCAUUUUGUAUUAAGCCUAGAUAAUGACUAUUAUUCAUUUUGGCAAAUGUAUAUGAUGUUCCUUCUAUGGAUGAAUUGAUGUCUUUUGGGAUGGAAUUAGCAAAUUGAAAUGAUCUUGUGUAGGUUGUGAAAAUUAGGUAACAAAAUGGCUUGGAAGAUAGCCUAGUUUGUCCACACGGGCAAGACACACGGGCGUGUGUUUAGACCAUGUGUGACAUACGGCUCACCCCCAAGGGUGUGUGCUAUGGCCGUGUGUCCCCCUGCACUUAAACUUUUAAAUCAGUAUUGUCCACGGUUAGGCCACACGGGCGUGUGCCAUAGCCGUGUCUAUAAGUCAGUAUUGACCACGGGUAGGCCACACGGGCGUGUGUCAUGGUCGUGCCCUAAAG